GAUUACUCGUUUCUCCGGGCACGCCAACAAAUCCGCCGUAUACAAAGAAAUUUUUUUUAUAUACGAAACGAUAGCUAUACCUAUACCUGUAAUCAUACAACACUACAACCAGUAGUAUAGAGCUGCUAAAAAGAAAACAUAUAUAAAUAACAUCGGUUCAAUUACAUACAUAGUAUCCAGAUACAAAAAUACUCGCUCCAGUGAGAAUCUAACAUCAGUAUGUAAUAGAACCAAAAACUACAACUACCUGUAGCUGGUAUGUCUCUAGAUCAGCAGCAAAAUGGGAAGGAAUCUAACUCGCAACUCACUUACCACGAUCUAAAUUAGCAACAGCAGCAGCCGAGGAAGAAGACUCUGUAAAAAGUUUCAACAACUCGGUAUGAGAACUACUGCAAAAAAAAAUAGUUCUUAGUGAAUAGCGCUACCGACCUCAACGGUUCACCUACAAAGUCUACAGAUAUAAGCUCAAAGAUAGUAAAGAAAGCUGGAAAAACUCUACAGCUAUAUACUGCUAUACUAUCACUAAUCAACAAUCUGUAGGUAUGAUAAUACACUGCCUAACCCAAAUCUCACUAGGGACUGUGAACACACCCGUCCUGCCUGUCGAAGCGAACCCGUACACCGAAGCUCAAGAGUAGCCAGUGGAGAAACUCUCUAGAGACUGAAAAUACACCUAUCUCGCCUAGCUAGGCUACACCGUAGCUCAAGAGUAGCCGGUGGAGAAAACUCUCUAGAGACUGUGAAUACACCCGUCUCGCCUAACUAGGCUACACCGUAGCUCAAGAGUAGCCAGUGGAGAAAACUCUCUAGAGACUGUGAAUACACCCGUCUCCCCUAACUAAGCUACACCGUAGCUCAAGAGUAUCCGGUCCAAGUAAAAAGGUCCGACAGGAUGGCUGCGACUCCAUUCACAUCACAACCUCACCUAAGGGGGGGAAAGGCAUCACUAACUACCACUAAUCCAACCACACACGGGCUGCCCAAACGGACCCACCCUGCCUGAAUCCAACUCAAGAACCGUCCAAACAGAAACUGCGAUCUCAUCGCACUGAAACCUCAAGACAAACCGAGAACAACACAAAAGCACAAAGUCCGACUCCGGAGCGGCACUCAUGGGCGCUACCCAAUCGAGUAUGCAAGCGUGUCUCUAUCGAUCUCAAUCAGGCUCUCACAGGCUGUAGUCAAAAUAGAAAGGUCUCACUGGUUGAACAACCACAAUCUACGUGCCAUCGGCACAAUCUGAUGCAAAAACUGCAAACCGGAUCCACCGUCAACCACAACGGCACCCUACAGUUCGGAACAGUCUGUACAUUACUGUAAAAAUACACUCGGCAUCUCAGCAGGAGCGUAAAUGCAUUCUAUACUAUUCUGGGUAUCUACCGCCCACAAACUGCGGCGAUACAAACAAACUACGGCUUCUAGAGCUAAAUCUGGUAGUUUCAGAAAAUGACGGUGUAUAAUCGAUAGUUUUCUCCUAAGUCAAUUCCAAGUCCAACAUGUAUAAUUUAGCUAAUAUUUUAAGUUCUAAUUCAGAUUUAAAAACCAUGCAAAUUAAAGAAUCGAGCUACUAAACAUGCUAAACGAAGCUAAACACAUGCUGUCAACAUAUAGGUUUAGAAGAUAAUUCCAAAAAUUUCAAUAAGCAUAUUAUUAACCCACCUCAAAAGCUACUCCAACAACGGCGAGAAGUCGAAAGAAGCGGAACCACGCGCUCGCCCGGCCUCCCAACGAUGCGACUAUGAUGCUCGCGUGCUCAAACGGCUCAUCGGCGCGAAGUCUAUGUCGAUCCGAGCUCCAUCCGCGACCUCCAACUUGCUACGGUCAAGGACUAAAGAGAGAAAGGGAAGAACCAGCAAAAACCCUUCAUCUCUGCCUCCUUACACGUAUAUAGAGGGAGUUGGUAAGGGUGAUAACAACGAGGCAGCCAAAAGACCAAACAGCCCCUCACCUACCCUGGAGUACCGGUACCAGGCCGAUGUCGUACCGGUACCCCGCAGCAGAAUGUGCAACCUGAGAGCAGUCUGCGUUGAAAACAUACAGGGUACCGGUACUCCCCUGUGUGGUACCGGUACGCAUUGCUGAAAAUCUGAAGUUUGCAGAUUGGAAUGCUAAACAGCUGCUAUUGCGUUGCAACGAGUUCAUUUUGCGUCUAUUUCGUGCCAACACGACUCGGACUUGUUCCGACACUCUCCAGAUGUGUCGACAAGCCUCAAAUGCUGAACUCUCACAGCUGCAGAACACUAGGGAUACUUCGUCCUCGAAACUUAAGCAUACCUCAAUCCUGAGCAUCGAACAAGUAAGGGUAGGACUCCCUCAUCACCGUCUCCGGCUCCCAGGUCGCCUCUCACUCCUCGUGAUGACUCCACUAUACUUUUACAUAAGGAAUGACCCAGUUGCGCAAUUCCUUCAUUUCACGAGUCAGAAUUCACACCGUUUUUUCCUCAUAUCUCAUGUCCUCGCUAAGCUCCGGCGGAGUGAAGUUGAUCACGUGCGAGGGGUCAAACACGUAUCUCCUCAAUGUAGAGACGUAGAAAACAUCGUGAAUGCCGGCCAGCCAUCGGGGUAGAGCAAUCCUGUAGGCAACUGGUCCAACUCGCUCCAAUAUCUCAAAAGGGACUACAAAGCGUGGACUGAGCUUUCCAUGCACUCCAUAUCUGUAUAUCCCUCUGGACGGCGAGACUUUCAGAAAUAUAUGAUCUCCAACCUGAAACUCUAAGUUUCGUCCCUUGAUAUCGGCGUAGCUCCUCUGUCGACUCUGGGCUGUCAAAAGAUGUUGUCGAACAACUUGAACUUUUUUCUCAACCUCUAUUAGAAUCUCAGGCCCUAGAGUCUUCCUUUCACCCACAUCACUCCAAUGCAAAGGGGAUCGGCACCUGCGUCCAUACAACGCUUCAAACGGAGCUAUCUGAAUGCUCGUUUGAUAGCUGUUGUUGUACGCAAACUCAGCCAGUCUGAAAUAUGCCACACUCCUCCAAAGUUCAGGACACAUGCCCUCAGCAUGUCCUCCAAAGUCUGAAUGGUCCGCUCUGACUGACCAUCUGUCUGUGGGUGAAAUGCAGUGCUGAAAUGCAACUGUGUACCGAAGGCUAUCUGAAGAUUCCUCCAAAAGUGUGAUACAAAUCUCGGGUCUCGAUCUGAUACUGUCAAAAUCGGCACAUCAUGCAAUUUCACAAUCUCAUCCAAGUAUAACUGAGCAAGUCUCUCCCUGGACCAGGUGGUUUGUACUAGUAAAAAGUGAGCAGACUUAGUCAGUCUAUCCACUUUCACCCAAAUCGCAUCAAAGUCACCCUGUGCUCUCGGCAAUCCUACGACAAAGUCCAUCGUGAUCUACUCCCAUUUCCACUCGGGCACUGGCAGACUCUGAAGCUUGCCAGCAAGUACUUGAUGCUCUGCCUUUAUCUGUUGGCAAGUCAAACACUGAGCCACAAAUCUGCCAAUGUCUCUCUUCAUUCUAUUCUAACAGAAGUGUGCCUUUAAAUUCUUAUACAUCUUGAUUCCACCGGGGUGAACGGUAUAAGGUAAGUAGUGAGCCUCCCUCAAAAUCUCCUCUCGGAUCCCUGAAUCCAUAGGCACACACAGUAGGUCCCUAUAUCGCAGUACUCUUGAACUGUCCACAGAAAAAGCCUCUGCAUGUCCCCUCUCCAACUGCUCUCGAAUCCUCAACAAGUGAGAGUCUCUACUCUAUUUCUCCCUGAUUUUGUCCAACAGAGUGGGCUGCAAGACCAUAGACAUCAGUCUUGUAGUAGACCAAGAGGACACUAUCUCGAGUCUUAACUGCUGUAGCUUCUCAAGUAACGGCCUCUGCUGAGUAAUCAUCAUGCUCAAGCUCUGCACUGUUUUUCUGCUCAACGCAUCUGCCACCAUAUUCGCCUUGCCGGGGUGAUACUGAAUACUAAUAUCAUAGUCCUUCAACAACUGCAACCACCGGCGUUGCCUCAGGUUCAAUUCCUUUUGGGUGAACAAAUACUUGAGAUUUUUAUAAUCAGUAAAAAUCUCACAGUGCUCGCCAUAUAAAUAAUACCGUCACAACUUCAAAGCAAAGACCACCGCGGCAAGCUCCAAGUCAUGAGUAGGGUAAUUCUUCUCGUAAUCCUUUAAUUACCGUGAAGCAUAAGCAACUACCCUAUCAUGCUGCAUCAGCAUACAACCCAAACCAUUGUGCGAUACAUCACUAUAAAUCACAAAUUCUUCCUCCAUCACUGGAAGGGUAAGGAUAGAAGCAGACAUCAACCUCUGUCUCAACUCAUCAAAGCUCUUCUGACAGUCCUCACUUCAGAUGAACUUAAUUUCCUUUCGAGUCAAUCGAGUGAGGGGUGUGAAAAGCUUCAUAAAGCCUUCCACUAACCGACGGUAAUAUCCUACCAAUCUAAGGAAACUCCUCACCUCGGUAACCGUCGUCAGUCUAGUCCAAUCCCGAAUAGCCUCAAUUUUCUUUGGGUCCACUGCAACGCAAACUGCAAAAAUCACAUGGCCGAAGAAAGAAACUUUUCGAUAAUCCACACACAAUCUAAGUGAACCAUCAUUCUUCUUCACGAAUAAAACCGGCGUUCCCCAAGGCGAUACACUAGGUCUCACAUACCCCUAGUUCAUCAGAUCCUGAAGCUGCGCCUUUAGCUUUCUCAGCUCUGCCGGCGCCAUCCGGUAGGGUGCCUUCAAGAUUAGUGCAGUUUCAGGAACUACAUCAAUCACAAACUCGAUCCCUCUAUCCGGCGGGAUAGUCGUUAACUCUGGAAAAAAAAAUCCGAAAACUCGCGGACGACAGGGAUAUCCUCGAGUCCCGGCACCGCCGUAGGCACCUCUAUAACCAUCGCCAGAAAAGCAAUGCAUCCUCUACUCACCUGUUGUCGAGCCCUCGCCGACGAUAUCCAAGUGGCAAACAACCUACUCCUGCAGCCUCUAUAUGUGAACUCUUCCUGGUCUGGCUCGCGGAACGUCACAGUCCUCGCUCCACAGUCGAUCGUAGUAUAGUACUGCGCCAACCAAUCCAUGCAAAGCACAACAUCAAAGUCCUGCAACUACCCUAAGACCAACAGAUCUGCAGGCAUGAUCCACGAGCCCAACUGCACCGGACACGACCAGCAACACUCUACUACCUGCAAAGUAUGGUCGAAAAUCUGCACCUCUCGUGCAUGCAACAACGGCCCUAUCUCUAGACGAUGCAAUGAUGCAAAUGCUCGGCUAACAAAAGAAUGUGAUGCACCGGUAUAAAAAAGAGUACGAGCUCUAAUGCCAAAAAUCAAAAUAAUAUCUGCCACUACUCGGUCGCUGCUGUAGAGUCCUCCACCUGGACUGCAUAAACCCGCCACUCGCGGCCUACUGUCGCUACUCACCCUGCCGCGGCACAGACGCUCUAUCCUCCUGGCGGUAACUCGGUGCUGCACCGUAAGACUACUGAGAUGCUGGUUGUGUUGAUACCGUCGAUGGUGCUGGUGAUGCUACUCGGGGACAAGCUACCCUCAUAUGCCCUGGCUGUCCACAUUCAUAGCACCGACCCUCUCUCUGCUUACACUGUCGGGGCCAGUGGGGUCCCCCACAAAUCAUACAUUGCGGAGUCCUCUGCAACUGCCUCUGCUGACGAGGUCUCCUAGAACGCUAACGCCCCGAAGACCCACGACCCUAAGAGCGUGAUCGUGGAGGUCUCGGCGGACGCCUGCUGCUGAACUGUCCUCUAUCCUCUAGAACCGGGCGCUUCGUAUCCAAACUCUGCCCUGGCACCGUUGCCGGCUCCUGAAUUGCUAUAGCUCCUCGCUACACCCAUAGUGCCUGCUGCACGGAUGCUCUUGGAUCAACACCCGACCGUUGAGUAACAAUCUCGCACAUCCUCUGUAAUAAUGCCCCCUGCUGCCUCAUCACCUCAGUCAGGGCAGCCAAUUGCUCUCUCAGAUCCAGGAGCGCAUUCGGCCCUGCCGGGGCAGGCAUCUCAGGAGGUGCGGCACGAUCUCUAGUCGGCGGUCGACCUCAACGUCGAUACAUAGCUACACGAAAAAAACAUAAGGGUCAAAUACAAAACACAAAUACUCUCGACCCAAUGAAACGAAAGUCUAGAAGGCGGGCCCUGUUUCUCCUCAAAAUUAUGUUGUCUGCAGCCGACAUAAUUUUCUUGGUUGAAACAGACACUCCUUCAGUCACUCACUCCAUUCUAGGAGAAGUUAAAACUGUUCAAUCGCUGACUUUCGCGAUAAAUCACGCCUCUUGCGUCGUACCUUCCUAAGGUUUGCCAAACUUAGGAUUUCUAGGUCCCAACGACCUAAUAUUAAGCUCCGAUACAAAUUUAAUCUGUCACGCCCCGGAUUACUCGUUUUUCCGGGCACGCCGACAAAUCGACCGUGUACAAAAAAUUUUUUCAUAUAUACGAAACAAUAGCUAUACCUAUACCUGUAAUCAUACAACACUACAACCAAUAGUAUAGGGCUGCUAAAAAAUAUAUAUAUAUAAAUAACAUUAGUUCAAUUACAUACAUAUUAUCCAGAUACAAAAAUACUCGCUCCAGCGAGAAUCUAACAUCAGUAUGUAAUAGAACCAAAAACUACAACUACCUGUAGCUGGUAUGUCUCUAGAUCAGCAGCAAAAUGCGAAGGGAUCUAACUCGCGACUCCCUUACCACGAUCUGAAUUAGCAACAGCAGCAGCCGAUGAAGAAGACUCUACAAAAGAUUUCAAUUACUGGGUGUGAAAACUACUACAAAAAAAAAUAGUCCUUAGUGGGUACCGCUACUGACCUCAACGGUUCCCCCACAAAGUCUACAGAU
This 6748-nucleotide long non-coding RNA is filed under the name Ananas comosus (pineapple). RNAcentral's name for it is "long non-coding RNA (ACOM_LNC013774)". Lineage: Eukaryota; Viridiplantae; Streptophyta; Magnoliopsida; Poales; Bromeliaceae. The record is from RNAcentral.